CACUAAUUAGCUAUUUUGACCAAGAUAAAUCACCUCUAACCUUUCUGGGCUUCAGCUUCCAAAUCUGAAAACAAGAAGAUUGAACUCUUGAAGGUCCCUUCUAUUUCGAAAAACCCAGGGUUCUAUUUCUGACCUACCUCUUUAAGUUUUAAGUAAUGACAACGGCAUCUGAAAGCCUCUUUUCCUAAACUUUUCCCAAGGCCAGAUGUUCCUGGCACUGACUUAGGAGAAAAAAAUAGUUUUUGAAUAACCUAACAUUUUUGUCUUUCAGAGCAAAUUAUCCUCUGGCCUUUUCAAUUCUUUUUCCCCUACUGCUCCCUCUGUAUGAAUCUUUAACAGAAGUUUUAAAAAAGUAAACUAUCUACUCUUCCUGAUUUGUCAGGGUUUAUCUUGUAACAGCAUUAUUUUUUUUUCCACUUUAGUAUUCCUAUAUAAAACCUCUCCCAACAUUGUUAGUCCAGUAACUGUGUGCCUCAGCCCCAAUUUGUCCCUGUUUUGCAGGAAGGUUAUUAAAUGCUCUGGGGACGAGGAACAAAAAGCUGAGAGACCGGGCUAGAGAAGGAAGCAAGCUGUCCAUACAGUGCAGACACUCUGGAGAACACCGUGGGCUAGAACGACAAGAGGAACCAAGAAGCUCCCAACUCAACCUCUCUUCAUUACUCUCCCCACCUCUAUCAACACGUUAACGCAGCCACGGAAGAAAUCUAGUAGGUUUUCAAAAACAUCCAGAAAAAGACUCAGCACCCUCUCUGGCCAACCUGUUCUAGUGCUUGAUAACAAUCCAAGAAUGCAGUAACUUCCUCCCUCUAACUCAGAUUCGAGACACUCUCCUUUUUCGUACAGGUCUGAAAGUAUCAGGCCCUUGCGGAAGAGACUUUUAUUGACCUGACGCUCUUCAUUAAACUGUCCCACACCGGCCAGAGGAUGAAUAACCUUGGACCAUUGAGCUGUUUCUAGGCUCUAAUUUCCAGUGCUUUAACUGUCCCUCUGGCUCGGCUCUAGACUCUUCAAGUCCUCCUUCGUACAAGUAGCAUGGCUUGUGAAGACACACAGCUCUAGUGAUGGUCCCCAGCGCAUGGCUUCUUCGGGCACCGCGCGGUGGGAGCCUGAGGCCAUGCGCGCGCAGGCAGGGGACUUCCUCACCUCACAUUCAGGCUGUCCCCGACCCCCUCUUCUCUACCCUUGCUUAAAGUUAAUAGAAGAAAGAAAGGAAGAAAAAAAAGGGAAGGAAGAAAAGAAGAGGGCAGAAAAAAUACAAAAGGGAACUAAGAUGUAUAAAAAUAUGAGAAAUGCAUUGUAACAGGAAAUACAAGCCAAAAGAUUCAUUUUACCAGAUGAAAAGUACAUAAAAACAACAUUUUUGCAUUCAGA
Panthera uncia (snow leopard) is the source of this 1371-nucleotide long non-coding RNA. RefSeq lists it as uncharacterized. The record is from RefSeq and is a predicted model, not a curated record. NCBI's taxonomy places the organism in Eukaryota, Metazoa, Chordata, Mammalia, Carnivora, Felidae. The transcript is spliced from 2 exons.